RNAcentral lists this ribosomal RNA (665 nucleotides) under uncultured beta proteobacterium. Its description in RNAcentral is "bacterial SSU rRNA". It matches the Rfam family "Bacterial small subunit ribosomal RNA", at positions 66 to 720 of the family's 1533-position model. Lineage: Bacteria; Pseudomonadati; Pseudomonadota; Betaproteobacteria. The record is from RNAcentral.
ACGCGGAGAGAAGCUUGCUUCUCACCGGCGACGAGUGGCGAACGGGUGAGUAAUACAUCGGAACGUGUCCGCUCGUGGGGGACAACCAGCCGAAAGGUUGGCUAAUACCGCAUGAGUUCUACGGAAGAAAGAGGGGGACCCGCAAGGGCCUCUCGCGAGCGGAGCGGCCGAUGACUGAUUAGCCGGUUGGUGAGGUAACGGCUCACCAAAGCAACGAUCAGUAGCUGGUCUGAGAGGACGACCAGCCACACUGGGACUGAGACACGGCCCAGACUCCUACGGGAGGCAGCAGUGGGGAAUUUUGGACAAUGGGCGCAAGCCUGAUCCAGCUAUUCCGCGUGUGGGAUGAAGGCCCUCGGGUUGUAAACCACUUUUGUAGAGAACGAAAAGACACCUUCGAAUAAAGGGUGUUGCUGACGGUACUCUAAGAAUAAGCACCGGCUAACUACGUGCCAGCAGCCGCGGUAAUACGUAGGGUGCGAGCGUUAAUCGGAAUUACUGGGCGUAAAGGGUGCGCAGGCGGUUGAGUAAGACAGAUGUGAAAUCCCCGAGCUUAACUCGGGAAUGGCAUAUGUGACUGCUCGACUAGAGUGUGUCAGAGGGAGGUGGAAUUCCACGUGUAGCAGUGAAAUGCGUAGAUAUGUGGAAGAACACCGAUGGCGAAG